This 580-nucleotide ribosomal RNA is filed under the name uncultured bacterium. RNAcentral's name for it is "partial 16S ribosomal RNA". It matches the Rfam family "Bacterial small subunit ribosomal RNA", at positions 355 to 932 of the family's 1533-position model. The record is from RNAcentral.
UGGGGAAUUUUAGACAAUGGGCGAAAGCCUGAUCCAGCAAUGCCGCGUGUGUGAAGAAGGCCUUCGGGUUGUAAAGCACUUUUGUCCGGAAAGAAAUCCUUGGCUCUAAUACAGUCGGGGGAUGACGGUACCGGAAGAAUAAGCACCGGCUAACUACGUGCCAGCAGCCGCGGUAAUACGUAGGGUGCAAGCGUUAAUCGGAAUUACUGGGCGUAAAGCGUGCGCAGGCGGUUUGCUAAGACCGAUGUGAAAUCCCCGGGCUCAACCUGGGAACUGCAUUGGUGACUGGCAGGCUAGAGUAUGGCAGAGGGGGGUAGAAUUCCACGUGUAGCAGUGAAAUGCGUAGAGAUGUGGAGGAAUACCGAUGGCGAAGGCAGCCCCCUGGGCCAAUACUGACGCUCAUGCACGAAAGCGUGGGGAGCAAACAGGAUUAGAUACCCUGGUAGUCCACGCCCUAAAACGAUGUCAACUAGUUGUUGGGGAUUCAUUUCCUUAGUAACGUAGCUAACGCGUGAAGUUGACCGCCUGGGGAGUACGGUCGCAAGAUUAAAACUCAAAUGAAUUGACGGGGUCAUAGCUG